UGGGGAAUAUUGCGCAAUGGGCGAAAGCCUGACGCAGCAACGCCGCGUGAGUGAAGAAGGCCUUCGGGUUGUAAAGCUCUUUCGGUUGGGAAGAAGGGUAUGCAUGUGAAUAAUGUGUAUAUUUGAUGGUACCAAAAGAAGAAGCACCGGCAAACUUCGUGCCAGCAGCCGCGGUAAUACGAAGGGUGCGAGCGUUGUUCGGAAUUAUUGGACGUAAAGGGUUCGUAGGCGGGAUUGAAAGUCAAGUGUGAAAUCCCCGAGCUUAACUCGGGACGUGCAUUUGAAACUUCAGUUCUUGAGUGAUAGAGAGGGUAAUGGAAUUGUUGGUGUAGGAGUGACAUCCGUAGAGAUCAACAGGAACAUCAGAGGCGAAAGCGGUUACCUGGCUAUAUACUGACGCUGAGGAACGAAAGUGUGGGGAGCAAACAGG
RNAcentral lists this ribosomal RNA (430 nucleotides) under uncultured bacterium. RNAcentral describes it as "bacterial SSU rRNA". It matches the Rfam family "Bacterial small subunit ribosomal RNA", at positions 355 to 776 of the family's 1533-position model. The record is from RNAcentral.